This 124-nucleotide microRNA precursor is filed under the name Aedes aegypti (yellow fever mosquito). Its description in RNAcentral is "microRNA aae-mir-193 precursor". Its record names the gene aae-mir-193. Lineage: Eukaryota; Metazoa; Arthropoda; Insecta; Diptera; Culicidae. The record is from miRBase by way of RNAcentral.
GCUUGCUAUGUAAUUUUUUCAAUCGAACUGGGAUUUUGUGGACCAGAAGAUUUCCUCCAUUCGAUAAUAGCUACUGGCCUACUAAGUCCCAACUUGUUUGGAAAUUGUCCGACAGAUAGCAAGC